Molecule: ribosomal RNA, 251 nt
Filed under: uncultured prokaryote
Description: partial 16S rRNA
Rfam family: Bacterial small subunit ribosomal RNA
Source: RNAcentral
ACGGAGGGUGCGAGCGUUAAUCGGAAUCACUGGGCGUAAAGCGCACGUAGGCGGUGUCGUAAGUCGGAUGUGAAAGCCCUCGGCUCAACCGGGGAACUGCAUUUGAUACUGCGAUGCUUGAGUGUGGUAGAGGGGGGCGGAAUUCCAGGUGUAGGAGUGAAAUCCGUAGAUAUUUGGAGGAAGAGCGAUGGCGAAGGCGACCCCCUAGGCGGUAAUUGACGCUGAGGCGCGAAAGGGUGGGGAUCAAACAG